Molecule: long non-coding RNA, 572 nt
Organism: Orussus abietinus
Lineage: Eukaryota; Metazoa; Arthropoda; Insecta; Hymenoptera; Orussidae
Exons: 2
Source: RefSeq, a predicted model, not a curated record
UGUGGCCGCGCGCACAAGCCGGCCGAAAUGUCACUAGGCGCGCCACCGCAGCGCCGUUCGGCGGGGAAGGUUUCUUAUUUUAGAAAUUGUAACUUGGUAAUGAAAAUUGCGCCAACGGGGAAAAAGGCCCGACAUGGGGCAACACAGCGCAUCCAAAGAUCUUUAUAAAAAGGACAUGAAACUAUGACUAGUUGCAGUAAAUACAACGUCGUGACAAAAAUUGAGCGAAAUAUCUUAAGAAAAGCGAAGCCUGAUACCUCAAAGAAGAACGAGAACUGGGACUGCAGUCUUUAUCAAUAAAAUAGGGUUGCCGAUAUGCGGCAACGUGCCCUGUGUAAAAAAUGGCUUUACGAAGAAUGCUCGAAGACAACAUUCGAGGAUCUUGAUGACAUAAUUUGCCCUAACUGUGCAAAUUAAUGUGCAUCCUCCCAUCGAUAUCCCUGGGCCUUAUUAUUUACUCCUUCAAGUAACAAAGCCCAUGAGCCCCAUGCUACAAUGUUUUAAAUUACUUAUUUGUUUGGAAUUAUGUUUUAUUUUUAUACUUUGUACCUGAAAUAAACAUUGUUCGUGUA